GACGAACGCUGGCGGCGUGCUUAACACAUGCAAGUCGAGCGGUAAGGCCCUUUCGGGGGUACACGAGCGGCGAACGGGUGAGUAACACGUGGGUGACCUGCCCUCAGCUCUGGGAUAAGCCUGGGAAACCGGGUCUAAUACCGGAUAUGACUCCAUGACGCAUGUUGUGGGGUGGAAAGCCUUGUGCGGCUGAGGAUGGGCCCGCGGCCUAUCAGCUUGUUGGUGGGGUGAUGGCCUACCAAGGCGACGACGGGUAGCCGGCCUGAGAGGGCGACCGGCCACACUGGGACUGAGACACGGCCCAGACUCCUACGGGAGGCAGCAGUGGGGAAUCUUGGACAAUGGGCGCAAGCCUGAUCCAGCCAUGCCGCGUGGGUGAAGAAGGCCUGGU
RNAcentral lists this ribosomal RNA (391 nucleotides) under uncultured bacterium. Its description in RNAcentral is "bacterial SSU rRNA". It matches the Rfam family "Bacterial small subunit ribosomal RNA", at positions 28 to 420 of the family's 1533-position model. The record is from RNAcentral.